CGGGGUGCAGCAGGCGCGAAAACUUUACAAUGCCGGCAACGGCGAUAAGGGAACCUCGAGUGCCAGGUUACAAAUCUGGCUGUCGUGAUGCCUAAAAAGCAUUGCAUAGCAAGGGCCGGGCAAGACCGGUGCCAGCCGCCGCGGUAACACCGGCGGCUCGAGUGGUAACCGUUAUUAUUGGGUCUAAAGGGUCUGUAGCCGGCCGGGUAAGUCUCUUGGGAAAUCUGGCAGCUUAACUGUCAGGCUUUCAGGAGAUACUGCCUGGCUCGAGGCCGGGAGAGGUGAGAGGUACUUCAGGGGUAGGGGCGAAAUCUUGUAAUCCUUGAAGGACCACCAGUGGCGAAGGCGUCUCACCAGAACGGACCUGACGGCAAGGGACGAAAGCUAGGGGCACGAACCGGAUUAGAUACCCGGGUAGUCCUAGCCGUAAACGAUACUCGCUAGGUGUCGGCCACGGUGCGACCGUGGUCGGUGCCGUAGGGAAGCCGUGAAGCGAGCCACCUGGGAAGUACGGCCGCAAGGCUGAAACUUAAAGGAAUUGGCGGGGGAGCAC
This 553-nucleotide ribosomal RNA is filed under the name uncultured archaeon. Its description in RNAcentral is "bacterial SSU rRNA". It matches the Rfam family "Archaeal small subunit ribosomal RNA", at positions 326 to 879 of the family's 1478-position model. The record is from RNAcentral.